UCUUUUGAUUGGAGCAUUUCAUCGAUUUACUUCUAAAGUUAUUAUUGAUAGGUAUGUACUCAUUGGUAUUUUGUUGUUUCCUAGUUAUUUUUUCUGUUCCUUUCUUAUUCUCUUGCUCUCUAACCUUGUGAUUUGAUGACUUUCUUUAGUGUUAUGCUUGCAGUCCUUUCUCUUUUUUUUUUAUGCAUCUAUUGUCAGUUUUUAGCUCAUGGAUACCAUGAGGCUCUUAUGUGAUAACCCAUGUAUAUAGCGGUCUAUUUUAAGUUGAAGGUCACUUAAGCUUGAGCACAUUCUAAAAGCACUACAUAUGUACACCCCCGCCCUCCUGCUAUGUUUUAAGUUUUUGAUAUCAUAUUUACUAUGACGUCAUAAUACUAUUUGACGUCUUAUUUUGUGUAUCCCUUGACUAAUUAUUAUAGAUAUAUAUGAUUUUACUAGUUUUGUUUUUAACUUUCAUACUAGAUACAUAGGUGGUUGAUCCACUACUUUUACCAUAUAUUUGCCUUUAUUGGUGAGAUUUUUUUCUUUCAUAAUUUUCAUAUUUCUAGCUAUGAUUUUUUAAUUUUCUGUUUAAAGAAGUCUCUUUAACAUGUUUUGUAAGGUCUGUUUAGUCAUGAUGAACUCCUUUAGUUUUUCCUUGUGUAGGAAACUCUUUAGUUCUCCUUAAUUCUGAGUGAUAAACUUGCUGGAUAGAGUAUUCUUGGUUGUAAGUUUUUUUUUCCUUUUACUACUUUGAAUAUGUCAUGCCACUCCCUUCUGAACUAUAAAGUUUCUGCUCAGAAGUCAGCUGAUAAUCUUAUGAGGGCUCCCCUAUUUGUAACUAUGGUUUCCUCUCUCUGUUUUUAAAGUUCUCUCUUUGUAUUUAACUUUUGACCUUGUAAUUAUAAUGUGUCUUGGUGUGAGUCCCUUUGGGUUCACCUUGUUUGGGACUUUCUGUGCUUCCUGGACUUGAAUGUCUAUUUCUUUCAUCAGGUUGAGGAAGUAUUCAGCCAUAAUCUCUUCAAAUAGGUUUUCUUCUCCUUCUUGGACCUCUAUAAUGUGAAUGUUAGUAUGCUUGAUGUUGUCCCAGAGGUCUCUUAAACUAUUCUCUUUUUUUUUUUUUGCUAUUCCAGUUUGGUGAUUUUUAGUAGCCUUUCUUCCACAUUACUGGUCUGUUCUUCUGUAUCAUUUAAUCUGCUGGUGGUUCCCUCUAGUAUAUUUUUCAUUUCAGUUAUUGUAUUCCUUAGCUCUGAUUGGUUCUUUUUUAUAUUUUCUGUCUUUUUGUUGAAGUUCUCAUUGUGUUCCUCCUUUCCUCUCCUGAGUUCAGAGAGUUUUUAUAAUGACUAAUAUUUUGAACUGUUUAUCAGGAAGAUUGCUUAUCUCCAUUUCAUUUAGUUAUUUUUCUAAGGUUAUGUCUUACUCUUUCACUUGGAACAUAUUCAUUUGUCUCUUCAUUUUGCCUAACUCUAUGAGUUUGUUUCAGGUAUUAGUUAUAUCAGCUACAUUUCCUAGAUUUAAAAGUGUGGCUUUGUGUAGAAGGUGUCCUGGGGCAGCACAGUAGUGCCAUUCCCCCAGCUGCUAGAGUCACUCCAGGAGUGUCCUUUGUAUGAGCUGUGUAUCUGGGCUGCAAAUGCUGUGGACACACUAAUGUGUGGGGUUGAGCCCUGUUACAACUGGCUAUAUGGCCUGGUCACAACUGCUUGUAGGUACUCUGAUAGGUAGGCUCAGACCCUGGGAAGGAGCCACUUUGGGGGGAUGCCAGUACCAGACAAGUGCCUCUCCAAGACUGGUGGGGAGGGGGUUGUUUUGUAGGGGGCUACACUGUUGGGUGAGAGCACCUGCCAGAACUGGCAGGAUUGGGGGCUACUUUGGAGGGACUCCAGUCCCAGCUGAGGGUACCCACAGGGUCUGGCCAGGGGUGGGGUUGUUUUGGAGAAGCUCCAGUGCUGGCCAAGGGUACCCACCAGGACUGGUGAGGCAGAGGGGACACUUUGGAGGAGUGUCACUGGGUUGGGCCCACAGGUGACCCUAGGGGGAGCAAGCAGUUCUAGUCAGUCAGAUGGGGAGAGUCAGAAAUGGUGCCUGCUAGCACCAGGUCAGCCAGGUAGGUGAGCCCUCCCCACCAAAAAAUAAAUAAAUAAAUAAAAUGCCUGCCAGCUCCUUUGUAGCCAGAGAAAGUUCCAACAGAUCCCUUCCCCUUAGCACCUGCCCUAAAAUUAGUCAGUGAAUCUCCUUCAGGUGCUUUUCAGACUGCUGCCUCUGUGCUGGGACUCAGGGUGAGUUUUUGCAUGAGACUUUGAAAAGCAGAGUCUCGGUUUCCUAUAGACGUCUGGCUCUCCUAGACAUAAGCCUCCUUAGUUUUCAAAGUCAAAUGUUAUAGGGGCAUAUCUUCCCAGUGCAAGCUCCCCAGGCUGGGGAGCCUGACAUGGAGUUUGGAAUAGGAGAGUCUAGGAUUUCUCAGAUUGGGGAGAGGACCAUAGAAAGGAGAGGAAGGACAUGGGAGGGGGAGAUCUGCAGGGACUGUAUGAAAUUAAUAAUUUUUUGUCCCCUCAUGUAGGAUUUUGAUGCCCAGGUGAGAGUAUUUCAAGAAGGAAGGUGGAUCCUUUUCAGUUGACUGCUGCUGAGAGGAGCAUUGAAAAAUGGCUUUUGGAUUUGGUGAAAGCUUUAGUAAGGGUUACUGGGGUAGUGUGAUGCUGAUAGAAACAGACUAGAGUGGGUUAAGGAGGGAGAGGAAGGUGAGAACGAAGCGAUGAGAAUGGCCACCCACUAUAGAAUUCUGGCUGUGUAGAAGAGAAGAGAGUUAAGCAGAAGCCAUGGGUACUGUGGAGAUAGGACAAGGCUGGUUGUUGUUUUGAAAUGGAGAAAAGAAAAAGAAAAUGCUUAGUGUAGGUUCCCAGAUGAAGCAGCAGGGAAUAGAAUCCAAAGCACAGGCAGAGGCACUGGCCUUAGACUGUUGGAUGACACAUUCUGGAUCAAGCCAGGAGAGAAGGAGAAAAGCCUAGACUUUGAUGGUAUGCUUGCUGUUUACUUAGAAACUUAAGAAUCAGUUCAUUUGGAUUAUUUUGUGUUAUUGUUAUAUUUUUCUCUUAUAUCUCUUCUUAUGUAUUUGACAAUCUUGAUCUAUGAUUAAAAAGAAAGGGCUGUCAUUCUAAUAUUUUUACAUGACAUGGAAAGUAAUAGUUCAACUAACUGUUUGUUAUAAUAAUAAAGACCAGAAGCAAAAACCAAAGGCCAGGAUCCUAGAGUCUUUCAUGUUGACCUCUGUUCUAUUAUGAACUUUAAAAUCUGUUUUACAUCAGACACUGCAGGAAAUAGAAUAGGAGAACAUGGGAAAGGAAUAUAUCCUGCUAAGAUUGCCUAGAUCCAGGGGGAUUGGUGAUGUUACCAAAGAGAAACAAACAGCAGUUGAUGAGGGUUUUCAAUAUGAGUAAAAAUGCUUUGAUGUCAGAUGAUUUUCAAAAAGAGGAAGAAAGAUGCAGACUUUAGCAAGAAAAUAUCAAAACAAAACUCAGAUUGACUGAAGGAAAGAUGCAAGGAAAUGAGUAGGGGUAAAUCCACAGAGCAUAAAAAGUACUCGUAAGUCGUUUGUUAGAAUUCAUGGUGAUCAUUUCAAUCCAUGGUAAAAUUUUCUUAGUCAUAUGAAAAUUUUAACUAAACAUUCUUUUCAAAAAAGAAAGUGUGCUAAAUUUAGAGGAAUAUGCUCGAAAUAUGAUAAAUUGUUCAGAGACCACUUUAGGGUGGAUAUUCUGUAUUUCAUUAAAUUUUCAAAUAAAUAUUCUUCUUUUGCUUUGUGAAACAUCUUUGUAUAUUAUUAUGGCUUUUCUAGUUUCUAUCCCCUCUUCCACUCCUGUCAUUGCUUUCAAAACUGUUAUUAAGGUGAUGUUACUUACCCUUUCCUGACAAGGUUAAAAGCACUGAGUUAAUUGACCACUAGUUUCAAUGGAUGUGGUAUGGUAAUAAUUGCUGUAAUGAGUAAACAACUGUACAACUACAAAUACAAUGCCAGCAGAGCCUAUUUACAUGAACCAACAUUUAACACACACUAGUGAAAAUGAUUCCCUCCUGUGAUGCUACAUUCAACAGAAGGGUUAUAUCUGGGAGGUCGAAAGACAUGCCCAGAGUAAUUUACUCCACAUAAUACAUAGUUGUUGUUUCCAUAACCCUAAUCUUCCUUCUUUAGCUGGAAAGGAUGGAGCCAGUGAAAAGGGGCACAUAUGCACAUACUCUUGUUGCCCAUCUGGCAAACACCACCAAGCCAUUCAAGGUUUAUUUCAACCCUGACACAUUCUAUGGGGUCUUUCUGAACCUCAUUCCCCUUGGUAGAACUUAUUUCUCUCUUCCUUGCAUUUCCAAUCUGAGGACAGGAAAAAGAGAAUAAAUCCAGACCUCUCCUUUUAUUAUUAAUUAAUUUAAUUAUUUAUUACAUUUAUCUAUAAUUCUUUUUUUUUUUUUUCGGUACGCGGGCCUCUCACUGCUGUGGCCUCUCCCGUUGUGGAGCACAGGCUCCGGACGCGCAGGCUCAGUGGCCAUGGCUCACGGGCCCAGCCGCUCCAGCGGCAUGUGGGAUCUUCCCGGACCAGGGCACGAACCCGAGUCCCCUGCAUUGGCAGGCGGACUCUCAACCACUGCGCCACCAGGGAAGCCCUUAUCUAUAAUCCUUAAAUAUAUUUAUCUUUUGAUUCUUUGGCAGGGUAAGGCUCAUUUUUCUGCUUUACAUUGUCAUAACAAUCAAUAUUGUAUUUGGAGGGAAUUCAUAACAGUAGUCAUCAAAAACUGAACAGAGUGUGACUGCAUAUUUAAACUUGUGAAUAAGACAGAACAAGCUGACAUAAAAUAAACCUAACCCUAAAAUUUACCUUAACCUCAACUUUACCUUAACCUCAAAAGGGUAUACAUUUUGUUCUGUUUUUUUUUUUUGUUUUCUUGAAAUUAUUCAAAAUUUUCUACUAAGUAAAAAAGGGAGAAGAAAAGCAACAAUAUCUUGAGAAAUUGUUAAAUUAAUUUAUUAUUUAUUGAAUGGAUUCAAAUCUUGAAAAAAAUUCUGAUGCUGAACUGAUUUUGAAAAAUAAUCAUGUUUUACAUUAGAAAAGUUUAAAUUGCCAGUUUAAGCCUGUUGAAAAUAUUUCUAUUGCAUUCUUAGUAAUUUCCCAAGGAAACAUUUCUAAAGGCUUAGCGAAACAUUUACAAUUUUAUAAAAUCUUUUAAAUUAAUUUAUAACUUAGCUAUGAGCUUCUUUUUGGGAGACUCAAAACAGUGGGUGACCUUAUAUCCAUAAUGUGUGAGCUUAAAUGUUUUAUUACAGCAGAGUGAAUUAGGAUGGAAUUACUCAACUUUCGAUACCAGCAUUUCAUUUAACUGCAGUCUGCUUGGUGCUUUACUUAAACCAAUUUAAUUCCUUUUCAUACAAUUGCAAGGUCACUUUUGUAUGUUCUAACUGUUUUGUUUUAUUUUCAACUGUAGAAUGGCUUCAGGUAGAUGGCAUGAGAAAAUACUGACCAAAUUGAAUAAUUCUCUUGGCAUUGUAUCCCAUUUGAUGUUUAAGAAGAUCGACGUUUUCUCCUAAUCUUGUUCUAGAGGCUGGGAAGUCCAAGAUCUGGGUGCCAGCAGACUUUGUGUCUGGUGAGAGCCCACUUUCUGGCUCGUAGAUGGCUGUCUUCUUGAUUCAUCCUCACAUGACAGAAGAACCACUUGAUAAAUAUUUUCUAUCUUCAACUUCUGAAGUCUUACUGAUGGCUUUUUAAGAAUACCUGUGCUCAUACCAUCAAAAAGAUUUAAGUGGUGGCGCAGUGGUUAAGAAUCCACCUGCCAAUUCAGGGACAUGGGUUUGAUCCCUGGUCUGGGAAGAUCCCACAUGCUGCGGAGCAACUAAGCCUGUGCGCCACAACUACUGAGCCUGUGCUCUAGAGCCCACGAGCCACAACUACUGAGUCCGCGUGCCAUAGCUACUGAAUACCGCAUGCCUAGAGUCUGUGCUUGGCAACAAGAGAAGCCACCGCAAUGAGAAGCCUGCACACCGCAAUGAAGAGUAGCCGCCGCUCGCCACAACUAGAGAAAGUCUGCGUGCAGCAACAAAGACCCAACACAGCCACAAAUAAAAAUAAUUACAAAAAAAAGAUUUAAUAAGGCUCCUCUGUACAUAUUGUGAUGAUAACACUGAAAGUUAUGAAAACUGGCACAUUGAUAUAGUGAAUAUAAUUGUUUCCUUCGGGGAUAUAAUAAUAUGAGAAGGAGCACUUUGGGGGAAACCAGCCACCAUGCAAGAAGACUAUCCUGAGAUUGCCAUGUUCUGAAUCCUGCUCUGUGGGGAAACAGUGGCUGUCAUGAGAACAUUCCAGCAACCCUAUGUAGUGAAGAAGUGAGUCUUUCUGCCAACAACCCCUGAGGACCUGAGGCCUCCUGCCAACAACCAUGAGAGAGAAUCACCUCGGAAGUGAAUCCUGUGGCCCUGACCCUACUACAGAUGACCACAGUCCACGCCAACAGCCUGACUGCAAAUUCGACUGACUCUCAGAGCCGCCCAGCUAAGAUGUGAUAACUGGAGCUGCCUAGAGAACAUGCAACGCCUCAGGGUCACGUCACUGAGCUGCUCAACUAGCACCAGUAAGUGCUCAUCAGAGCCUUCUUGUUAUAUAACAAAAACAAACCCAUGUUUGUUUAAGGCUCCAUAUUUGGGCUAUCUAUUACUUCUUGCACAAACAUUCCUAAUAGAUAUGGAGUGGUAUACACUAUUCCAGGUAAGAGAAAAACCCUGAAAAUGCACUCAUCCUGCGCAUAAAAAGUUUAAACUUCCAUGACUGAUAGUAUUUGAAUAUAACUUAGUCUGAUUCCAAGUCUAAUCUUUGGCUAAUAAAUCCUGAUGUGUUGCCUGAGAGAAUCGGGCUUAUUGUUUCCUUUAAGGUCUCAUGUAUUAAUCUUCUCCAUAUAGUUGUAUCUGAGAUCAUCUGCUGAAUAUAGGGUGGAAUGAAGAUUAUGAGAUUGUGUGAAGUCCUGAAUAAUCUCUAUUUGGAAUGUUCAAUGGAAGCCCUGGACCCACCCAUGAAAUGAAAUAAAAAGCUGGAUAAGCAACUGUGGAGGUCAGUUGGAAGUUAGUAAACUAGUAUUUAUUACUUUCGAGAAUUAAGUUCUAUACUCAACUGUGGUGACUGGGUUUAAGUUAGUUCGUGUAAUUUUCUUACUUCUGGUACAUUUGGAAGGGAUAGACGACAGUAUUAAAAUUGUUUUAUAUAAGAGAUGAAGGAAAAACAUGACCUGGGCUUCAGUUUAAGGGAUUGAUAAUGUUAAUACUUCUGACUGAAAGGAAGCUAUUUGAAAGGAGUGUUUGUCUUGGAGGGAAAGAGAUAAUUUCCCUGUUGGAUGUAUAUGCAUUUGAGUACCCCUUAUGUGGACUUAGUAAGCUGCUGAGAACAGGCACAGAGACAAAGGCAGUGGGUUAUGAAUGGAGUUUGACAUUAAGAAGUAAUCAGGAAGAAAAGCAACAACAACUAGAAAAGUGGCUGAUUUAAUUAGACCGGCAAGCUAAAAUUGCAGGUAUCAAGAACAGAUGUGUGAGCUUCCAUAAGGGGAAGGCAGCAGUGUGAGGAACGAAUAUCGUGCAUGGAGAUAGAGCAGCAGUUAGGAAGAUGAAGUGUCAAGAAAGCCAAGGGAGGGGACUUCCCUGGUGGUCCAAUGGUUAAGACUCCGCGCUCCCAAUGCAGGGGGGCUGGGUUGGAUCCCUGGUCAGAGAACUAGAGCUUGCAUGUCACAACUAAAAGAUCCCGCACGCGGCAACGAAACUAAGACGCGGCGCAGUCAAAUAAGUUUAAAAACAAAAGGCCGAGGGAUACUGGUUGGGGACUCGGGAGAGCAACACAGUCAAGGGUAGGGCUGGGAUUCAGGAAAGACCCUGCUGUUAGAAGGCUUUGGUGACCUGUAGGAGAGUAGAGUUCUGGUUGUGGUGCGGAUGGUGAAGAGCCUUCAUUCCAGGAGUGGGGGAAUGAGUGCAAGGAGAGAGAAUAGACAAAGCCUGCCCAAUAAACAGCCGAUUCCAAAAAAUGCAUGUGCAGGAUUGACGUGAAGUUUCAGGAGGAUGGAAGGGGUUUAUUCUCAAUGUGGCAGCUGUUGGAGGGUGCAGAUCCUGGAAGCAUCAACUCCGUUUGACUUAGCAAUUUGGGAUAAUAUAUUUAAAGUCCUUUGCUUGUUUCACUGUGGUAAUUGCUUCUGAAUUUUUGAAAAAAAUGUGUGAAUAUUUUUGAGCUGUACAAAGGUUAUAAAAAAUUAUUUACUUCACUUUAUAAUAAUUGCCCUGAAUUACAAGGCACAAUUAAGGUGCAGAAAGUUGCAAGUAUUCAGCUCUUAAUGAGAAAGUUUCUUCCUACUUUUAAAGAUCAAACAAAAAUUUUUACAAUAUGUUUAGACAGAAAAAUGUGUUUUGUUCAUGGAAAAAUUUUCAGUGUAUUUUUAAACUUAUGCUUUUGUAUCCAACUUUAUGAAAUGUAACUAUUCUUUGCUAUCUACAUUCUAAUCAUUAUUGUAUGGCAUCAGAAAGCUGCAAAAACAUCUUAUUAUCAUGGCUCCGCACAAAAUUGCCUUUAUAGGAUUGAACACAAUAAUUUGAUUUUAAAAUAAUGCCACUACUUUCAUCUAGUAUGUAUGUAGAAAGUAAUCAUGAACAAAAUAUCUACAUUAAAUAUUAAAAUAAAGACAAUAAAAUGACUGAAAAAAUGAUCCCAUUCCUUAUGCUAUUCAUUAUUUUUUAUUUAAGGUUCACAUGAUUAAUUCUUCUUAGGACGCCCAUGCUAAGAAAACAAAGAAAGUAGCAAAACCAUUAAAACAGUGUAUGCCAUGUGUUUUGUUUCUGAUAAAUAAACAAAAACAAGGAGACACAAUCUCUUUUUGUCUAAUGGGAGCUCUAAAACCACCAUGUUCCUUGAUUCCCCUCAGUUCUCGGGAAGCUCAGUUGAAAUUUUUUGAAAGAGCCUCCAGCAGGUUAGCUUUUUUUGGCAUGAUUAUUUCUCCAUCCUGGCUUUACUACUUGGCUUUUCUAUUCUUUCUCAUGCUUUAUUGGUUUACCAUUCUAUGAUAUCUUCUUUAAUAUCAUCAGUUUUCUUAUAGCCAUUUUGAAAGGGGGCAAAACAUAAAUAAUGAAUUAUAUCAUUGUCAAAUCAUACUA
Molecule: long non-coding RNA, 9127 nt
Organism: Globicephala melas (long-finned pilot whale)
Lineage: Eukaryota; Metazoa; Chordata; Mammalia; Artiodactyla; Delphinidae
Source: RefSeq, a predicted model, not a curated record